Molecule: long non-coding RNA, 1660 nt
Organism: Carya illinoinensis
Lineage: Eukaryota; Viridiplantae; Streptophyta; Magnoliopsida; Fagales; Juglandaceae
Exons: 3
Source: RefSeq, a predicted model, not a curated record
CCUCUCUAUACGGUGCGUUUCGCAUUUUUGUGUUCUUCUCCCAAAGGACCAAAGUGCUCUUUCCCACCCAGUUUGCCUCCUCCCAUUUGACUUCUCCUUCGACUUCCCAUUACAAUACGAAACCCUAACUGAGGAUUUCUUUGAAGAGGAGGUGUGUUUCUGCAAGAGGUUGAGGUAGCACUGGGAUUUUCUGCAAGGCUUCGGUUCAAUUUCGUUCUUGGCAUCGGUUCAAUUUCAUUCUUGGUAACCAAAGCUUUUUCAAAACUAACAGAGACGAAAGUGUAAAAGAAACAAAACCAAGAGAGAAAUUAUUAUGAUCAUGUCGUAAUGCGGCGUCGUUUGUUGGAGAAUACCUUUGCCUGCAAUGCAAUGUUUCAACUUAUGGCACGAUGGAGCAGUGGAGCUAAGGGCGUCCUAAUACGAAGUCAUUUUAUUGGCUGUGAUGCUCUUUUCAUUUGGAGUUGUAUGUGAUGUUUAGUUUAAUUUCAUAGAGGUCAGUUUAACAAUCCUAGAAGUUGUUAGUUUGUUGUAGAGAGUGAAUAUAGUCGAAAGGAAGGAAGUGGAGAUGGGAGAAUCUGGAAUCUGAAAAAUUGUUUACGCUACACUUUUGUAUGGAGGUUUGGAAUCCCUCAAGGUAUUCCAUUAUCGAUACACUUGUGACUCUUUGAAGCCUUUUAUCAAACACCUUCCCUAUUUGCUCUAUUUUCAUUCUAAUUCCUGAAGUAUUUUAUUACAUCUCGUUGGGUUCCUUAAUACACUACAGUAACUCAUUCAACAUUUUCUUGAAAAUGUUGUUCGUAGUCAAGUUUGUGCACCCUUGCGCACGACAAAUGACAUGGAAUUGAUUAAUGAAACGGUGCGGAUCCCAUUUGGUGGGGGACAAAAUUGGAAAUGAAAUGGAAAAUGUUAAUGAAACAGUGCGGAUUAGAGGGUGGGAGACGAAAUUGAGAGAGACGUCAGUACUGGGUUAUUCCCUUCUCCUUCUUCCCCAUUCCCCCAGAACCUCCUCCUCCGUCAAAGACGCGAAGUUCCCCCUGUAGCUUCUGCAAGCUAGAGACUCAACCUAAUGUGAUUUUCUACAGCCUCACUCUGCAAGUCAGUUCAAUUAACAUUGGAAGAAUAGGUGGUUUGUCGUCUUUCCCAAAAGAGUAUGGUGAAAAAACCGCAGCAUAUCACGCCAAUAUCCUCGCAGCUGCCAUCUGAUCUUGAGUCUCCAUGUGAAACAAAGUCAAAUGUAAAUGAAUUUGAAGACAUUGAGUUACCAAACCUAAACAUCAAUAUUGCAAAUUCAUCAAGCAGAUGAUUUGAGUUCUAACUUGCAGGCCUCUUCCUCUAAAGUCUUGGAAUCUAUACUUGUCAUAAGGGGCCAAGUAAAUGCUACUGAUAUUGUAUCUUAAUUUGUUCAGUUGGUUAAUUUAGUUAAAUUUUAAAAUUGGGAAAUUAACUUAAUUCCCGUCUAUUUAUGUUAUUAAUUAAUGGUCAAGCUUAAUGUCAGAUUAUUGGGGAAAUAUUGUAACUCUCGAGUUCUGAUGAUCUUGUAGUAAUGUUCGACUGAUUAGAACCCUCCAGCAUGGAUGUCCAUGCAUAUAUAUUACUCUACAUGAAUAUUGUACAUGGAUGUAUAAUCUCUACACAUUAAUCCUUAAUGUUGGGUUUCUCA